GACGAACGCUGGCGGCGUGCCUAAUACAUGCAAGUAGAACGCACAGUUUAUACCGUAGCUUGCUACACCAUAAACUGUGAGUUGCGAACGGGUGAGUAACGCGUAGGUAACCUGCCUGGUAGCGGGGGAUAACUAUUGGAAACGAUAGCUAAUACCGCAUAAUAUUAAUUAUUGCAUGAUAAUUGAUUGAAAGAUGCAAUUGCAUCACUACCAGAUGGACCUGCGUUGUAUUAGCUAGUAGGUGAGGUAACGGCUCACCUGGGCGACGAUACAUAGCCGACCUGAGAGGGUGAUCGGCCACACUGGGACUGAGACACGGCCCAGACUCCUACGGGAGGCAGCAGUAGGGAAUCUUCGGCAAUGGACGAAAGUCUGACCGAGCAACGCCGCGUGAGUGAAGAAGGUUUUCGGAUCGUAAAGCUCUGUUGUAAGAGAAGAACGGGUGUGAGAGUGGAAAGUUCACACUGUGACGGUAUCUUACCAGAAAGGGACGGCUAACUACGUG
This 505-nucleotide ribosomal RNA is filed under the name uncultured bacterium. RNAcentral's name for it is "partial 16S ribosomal RNA". It matches the Rfam family "Bacterial small subunit ribosomal RNA", at positions 28 to 507 of the family's 1533-position model. The record is from RNAcentral.